UGGUUGAAGACCCUUAAUGAUCAAGCUGCCAAUUUGUAUUCAAUGAUAGGAUGCUUAACUUCACUUAAACCAUCAGGCACGCCAACUCUGCUCCAGUUAUAAACGGAAAACAACGAAAGUAUAAAUUCGCUACGGAACAAGAGUUUGGCGAGUUUGCUUUUUGUGGAGGUUCACGUCACCAUAAAACACUUUGGGUGGCUACAUGUCACUAACGAGUGAACUUGGAUGUUUCGAGUGGGACGUGUGAUUAUUUUGAGUGGAAUGUGGCUUAUUCGAGUAGGAUGUGAUUGUAUCUAUGACAAGAUUUGUCUAAUAAUGGGAGGCUCAUGACGUGCGCCGUUAUGUAAUGAUAUAUCAGCCUCUUGGAAAGUA
Molecule: long non-coding RNA, 372 nt
Organism: Helianthus annuus (common sunflower)
Lineage: Eukaryota; Viridiplantae; Streptophyta; Magnoliopsida; Asterales; Asteraceae
Exons: 2
Source: RefSeq, a predicted model, not a curated record